AACACACCAUCCGUUCCUGGUAGAUGAUGGCGGAGAAUGAGGAAGUGUUGUUGUGUGUCUGGGGAAGCGCGGACUCACGAGACGAAAGCGUGUACACGAAAGCUCAAGGAGAGCACAUGUGCUGAAAGAUACAACCAUCCCAUCAGUCGGUAUCCCAGUGAGAGCAGACAUUGCAGAGGACAAGCAGGAGUAUCGUGGAGUGACAACGUGAUGGACUACUAAGAUACAUCGUAAAAGUUGGAGACGGAUGCGCACCGCAGAGGGAUCGAACUUUGACGUGUGUAAUAUGAGAGAAAAAGAAAGUACGAGUGGAGAUAUCCUCAUUCAGCAGAGGAGGAGGAGCUUUGGCCUUGGGUCCCUGGGCACAGGAGGUGCUGCAACCUUGUUGUUGCACAGCUCCUUCAUAAAAGCAUCAUACUGUACAUUGGACAAUAUGAUGGUGCGUGUACAUAGUUGCACUGUUUGGAGGCGGAGAAAUAUAACAACUAUAAUCAAUAUAUUGCUUCUACAGCCAUUUCACAAGUA
Molecule: long non-coding RNA, 525 nt
Organism: Nerophis lumbriciformis (worm pipefish)
Lineage: Eukaryota; Metazoa; Chordata; Actinopteri; Syngnathiformes; Syngnathidae
Source: RefSeq, a predicted model, not a curated record